Molecule: ribosomal RNA, 497 nt
Filed under: uncultured bacterium
Lineage: Bacteria
Description: partial 16S ribosomal RNA
Rfam family: Bacterial small subunit ribosomal RNA
Source: RNAcentral
GACGAACGCUGGCGGCGUGCCUAAUACAUGCAAGUUGAGCGAUGAAGCUUGGUGCUUGCACCAAUUUGAAGAGCAGCGAACGGGUGAGUAACGCGUGGGGAAUCUGCCUUUGAGCGGGGGACAACAUUUGGAAACGAAUGCUAAUACCGCAUAACAACUUUAAACAUAAGUUUUAAGUUUGAAAGAUGCAAUUGCAUCACUCAAAGAUGAUCCCGCGUUGUAUUAGCUAGUUGGUGAGGUAAAGGCUCACCAAGGCGAUGAUACAUAGCCGACCUGAGAGGGUGGUCGGCCACAUUGGGACUGGGACACGGCCCAAACUCCUACGGGAGGCAGCAGUAGGGAAUCUUCGGCAAUGGACGAAAGUCUGACCGAGCAACGCCGCGUGAGUGAAGAAGGUUUUCGGAUCGUAAAACUCUGUUGGUAGAGAAGAACGUUGGUGAGAGUGGAAAGCUCAUCAAGUGACGGUAACUACCCAGAAAGGGACGGCUAACUACGUG